This is a long non-coding RNA of Pantherophis guttatus, 417 nucleotides long. RefSeq lists it as uncharacterized. The record is from RefSeq and is a predicted model, not a curated record. NCBI's taxonomy places the organism in Eukaryota, Metazoa, Chordata, Lepidosauria, Squamata, Colubridae.
AGCAUUCUGAACUUUCUAUAUGAAAAGAGCUACAAUCAGUCUCAUGCCUCGUCAAGCGCAGUGCCUGAAGCAGGGCUGUGAGUGAUUCCUUCUCAGAUGGAAUAUCUACAAUUGUUUGCACAUUGCUGAAGACUUCAUUGUACCUGAAUUCCUUGCAAGAAGAAAACGUUGUAGAGCCCAAGUUCUAUUGCAUAUACUGUUGAGGUGGCCCAAUAUAUUUUCCUCGUUUUUUUCUCAGACAAGGAAAAAAGUGAAAAGACUUUUAGAAAGUUUUUGAAACAACAGCCUGACUGAAAUAGAAAUGUUGAAAUUUUGAAAUGACUAGCUUUGAAAAUAGGUCACCACUUUCUUCCUUUUGAGUUACUAAAUUCAGUCGCUUGGAUAUUUUGAUUGCCUCUAAAAAUAAAACCUGGUGUC